UACGUAGGGUGCAAGCGUUGUCCGGAAUUAUUGGGCGUAAAGGGCUCGUAGGCGGCGUGUCGCGUCGGGAGUGAAAGACCGGGGCUUAACCCGGUUCUGCUUCCGGUACGGGCAUGCUGGAGUGUGGCAGGGGAGACUGGAAUUCCGUGGUGUAGCGGUGGAAUGCGCAGAUAUCAGGAGGAACACCGGUGGCGAAGGCGGGUCUCUGGGCCAUUACUGACGCUGGAGGAGCGAAAGCGUGGGGAGCGAACAGG
Molecule: ribosomal RNA, 254 nt
Filed under: uncultured bacterium
Lineage: Bacteria
Description: partial 16S ribosomal RNA
Rfam family: Bacterial small subunit ribosomal RNA
Source: RNAcentral